GAUGAAGAACGCAGCGAAAUGCGAUAAGUAAUGGGAAUUGCAGAAUUCAGUGAAUCAUCGAAUCUUUGAACGCACAUUGCGCCCGCCAGUAUUCUGGCGGGCAUGCCUGUUCGAGCGUCAUUACAACCCUCAGGCCCCCGGGCCUGGCGUUGGGGAUCGGCGGAGCCCCCCGUGGGCACACGCCGUCCCCCAAAUACAGUGGCGGUCCCGCCGCAGCUUCCAUCGCGUAGUAGCUAACACCUCGCGACUGGAGAGCGGCGCGGCCACGCCGUAAAACACCCAACUCUUCUGAAGUUGACCUCGAAUCAGGUAGGAAUACCCGCUGAACUUAAGCAUAUCAAUAAGCGGAGGA
Molecule: unclassified non-coding RNA, 352 nt
Filed under: soil metagenome
Description: partial contains 5.8S ribosomal RNA, internal transcribed spacer 2, and large subunit ribosomal RNA
Rfam family: 5.8S ribosomal RNA (bases 1-120)
Source: RNAcentral